UACAGAGGGUGCAAGCGUUAAUCGGAAUUACUGGGCGUAAAGCGUGCGCAGGCGGUGAUGUAAGACAGUUGUGAAAUCCCCGGGCUCAACCUGGGAACUGCAUCUGUGACUGCAUCGCUGGAGUACGGUAGAGGGGGAUGGAAUUCCGCGUGUAGCAGUGAAAUGCGUAGAUAUGCGGAGGAACACCGAUGGCGAAGGCAAUCCCCUGGACCUGUACUGACGCUCAUGCACGAAAGCGUGGGGAGCAAACAGG
RNAcentral lists this ribosomal RNA (253 nucleotides) under uncultured bacterium. RNAcentral's name for it is "partial 16S ribosomal RNA". It matches the Rfam family "Bacterial small subunit ribosomal RNA", at positions 524 to 776 of the family's 1533-position model. The record is from RNAcentral.